CAGAAGACCCAGUUUGCAAAGCUAGAAAUGAUCUCAUCAGUUGCUCCAGAAAACGGGCAAGAUCAUCAUCUUUUACUUUCCAGAAGUCUGACUCACAGUCCAACACAGAUACAACAGUCUCUCAGAAAAGAGGAAGAUCGUCU
Tinamus guttatus (white-throated tinamou) is the source of this 143-nucleotide non-coding RNA. The record is from RefSeq and is a predicted model, not a curated record. NCBI's taxonomy places the organism in Eukaryota, Metazoa, Chordata, Aves, Tinamiformes, Tinamidae.